RNAcentral lists this unclassified non-coding RNA (316 nucleotides) under plant metagenome. RNAcentral's name for it is "partial contains 5.8S ribosomal RNA, internal transcribed spacer 2, and large subunit ribosomal RNA". The stretch from base 1 to 105 matches the Rfam family "5.8S ribosomal RNA", at positions 50 to 154 of the family's 154-position model. The record is from RNAcentral.
GAAAUGCGAUAACUAGUGUGAAUUGCAGAAUUCCGUGAAUCAUCGAGUCUUUGAACGCACAUUGCGCCCCCUGGUAUUCCGGGGGGCAUGCCUGUCCGAGCGUCAUUGCUGCCCAUCAAGCACGGCUUGUGUGUUGGGUCGUCGUCCCCUCUCCGGGGGGGACGGGCCCCAAAGGCAGCGGCGGCACCGCGUCCGAUCCUCGAGCGUAUGGGGCUUUGUCACCCGCUCUGUAGGCCCGGCCGGCGCUUGCCGAACGCAAAUCAAUCUUUUUCCAGGUUGACCUCGGAUCAGGUAAGGAUACCCGCUGAACUUAAGC